GGCUCUCCUCCUUGACGCUCAAGUAGCAAAAGACGACGCUACCAUUGAGCAAAAAGACACUCGAGUUGUUUAGGAUCACCCUUAAGAUCCGGUUUGAGAGCAUGUCGGAAACAUCACUCCGGUCUUUCAUCAAAUCAACGAAUAUCCUAAAAAAAAUACCUAUAGUACCAAUGCUCACACACGUCGCCGCCAAAACAAGCAUCAUGUCAUCAAAAUACUUGAUGUUUGAGGAUGUAUAACGAACAUACACUAGAAUAAGAAAGAUAUGGUUGAGUUCUGUGCCCCAUGAUAAGCAAUAACUUUGCCUCAAUAAGAGCCAUAUAAGGUAAGCAACCAAAAGUUGAGCAUCCAUAAAAGUAGGUACUUUUCUCUGCCAAAGAUUAACCAAAGGGCCAAGGUGAUGCUAUAAACCCCGGAGACACCAAAUGCGACAAGGAAAUCUUGAUAAUCUUUGACGCCCGGGCAUGGUUCGACAUUAUCCAUUCUAAGGAUUUUGAUCUCAAAUUUCUUGAGA
Molecule: long non-coding RNA, 514 nt
Filed under: Helianthus annuus (common sunflower)
Lineage: Eukaryota; Viridiplantae; Streptophyta; Magnoliopsida; Asterales; Asteraceae
Description: sRNA HanXRQr2_Chr12g0560341
Source: RNAcentral